AGCUCCAAUAGCGUAUAUUUAAGUUGUUGCAGUUAAAAAGCUCGUAGUUGGAUUUCGGGCCGCGUCUUAUUUGGUCACCUUUUCAGGUCGCAUCACUAAGGCCGGCCUUGCUGUCGAUGACGCGUGGGGUGGCUCGCGCCAUGCCCGUGGACUCGACGACGUUACUUUGAGUAAAUUAGAGUGUUCAAAGCAAGCCAAAGCUCUGAAUAUAAUAGCAUGGGAUAACACGACAGGACUCUAGGUCUAUCGUGUUGGUCUAUAGGCCGGGGUAAUGAUUAAGAGGGACAGUCGGGGGCAUUCGUAUUCCAUUGUCAGAGGUGAAAUUCAGUGAUUGAUGGAAGACGAACAUCUGCGAAAGCAUUUGCCAAGGAUGUUUUCA
Molecule: ribosomal RNA, 379 nt
Filed under: uncultured eukaryote
Lineage: Eukaryota
Description: SSU rRNA
Rfam family: Eukaryotic small subunit ribosomal RNA
Source: RNAcentral